This 64-nucleotide transfer RNA is filed under the name Pericapritermes nigerianus. RNAcentral's name for it is "tRNA-Glu". It matches the Rfam family "tRNA". Rfam says of the family: Transfer RNA (tRNA) molecules are approximately 80 nucleotides in length. Their secondary structure includes four short double-helical elements and three loops (D, anti-codon, and T loops). Further hydrogen bonds mediate the characteristic L-shaped molecular structure. tRNAs have two regions of fundamental functional importance: the anti-codon, which is responsible for specific mRNA codon recognition, and the 3' end, to which the tRNAs corresponding amino acid is attached (by aminoacyl-tRNA synthetases). tRNAs cope with the degeneracy of the genetic code in two manners: having more than one tRNA (with a specific anti-codon) for a particular amino acid; and 'wobble' base-pairing, i.e. permitting non-standard base-pairing at the 3rd anti-codon position. Lineage: Eukaryota; Metazoa; Arthropoda; Insecta; Blattodea; Termitidae. The record is from RNAcentral.
AUUUAUAUAGUUUAGAAAAAACAUUACAUUUUCACUGUAAAAAUAAAGAAAACUUUUAUAAAUA